CUCUCUCUUCUCAAUUUUCUCCAUCUUCACGAAACCAGAAACUGAAAUUUUGAGAGAAACUAAACCCAAACUCAAACCCUUUUCUCCAUCUUUUUCAUCUUCUCCACAAAACCCAAAUUCUCAAACAAACUCAAAGACACAACAGAAACAGUUUGUUUAUCAUUAAACAAAACCUUUAUUUCACCUUUUAUACCAAGAAACGAUCGGAAUUCUUCGUGAUUUCAGUAAUGUGGAAUGUCUUACCAAGAUUCACAGCUAGGGGUGGAAAGAUGCAACUCAAGGCAAUGCUUCCAUCCUAUAUGUCAUCUGAUUCCAAUUCGUGAGAAUUCCAAAACCUUGGCCUCAUCCUUGUUCGGGAUCAUGGAUACAAAUCAUUCCAAAUUAAGAUACAAGAAAAGUGUUCGACUGUCAUAAAAUGUGAAGUUGUUUCUCCUGUGCUGGAAUGAGAGAUUGCAACUGAUCCUAAAGUUCAAGAUACUGCAAUUAUAUUGAAGAAAAAGCAACAAGUGGUUGCUUAAUAUGCACCUUAGAUUGUGCAUGAACAACAUCAGAGCAAGGCUGCUACGAUGUGCAUAUGUUGAUAGAUUAAAUCCGCCAAAUGGCGACGGGUAUGACUCCGAUAUUGAUGAAAUUAUGGAUUCAAGUGCCAUGUUAGGUGAUAUAGAUGGAGUACUUGGAGAUAUGUUUCAAGAGGUGAUAUGAUUAAGUGGCAUGUAAUAGGAGCCUGCUACACCAAUUGCUAAAGUUCCUUUGGUCACUUUCCACUAUCAUUCUCAGCUGCCACAGAUUCUGGGAAGACAUUGAAAGAGGUAUUCCUGAAACAUCCUUUUUCAAUAUACCUAUGUGGGCAUCUUCAUACAAGGUUUGGUAAUUUGCAGCGGCAUCAUAGUACUGGACAUAAUUUCUUAUCACUGAAGAAGUAUUUCCAACCAAAUGUCCACCAGAAUACUUAUGAAAGUAGCACAUACAAUGUUAAUUUUUCUAAUGGAUAUCCAUUUGCUAAGGAAUUCUUGGAGUGGGAAAUGUGGCAAGGUUACAACGGAUUGAUUACGAUUUUAAUUUUCAGUAUUUAAGUUGGGGAUUCUAGUAUUUUAUCUUUCAGUUUGUAUUCGAAUACUCUAUUUUCUUGAAUAAAAUAAUUAAUAAAGUAUUCAUUUUGGAA
Papaver somniferum (opium poppy) is the source of this 1162-nucleotide long non-coding RNA. RefSeq lists it as uncharacterized. The transcript is spliced from 5 exons. Lineage: Eukaryota; Viridiplantae; Streptophyta; Magnoliopsida; Ranunculales; Papaveraceae. The record is from RefSeq and is a predicted model, not a curated record.